This is a long non-coding RNA of Rhipicephalus sanguineus (brown dog tick), 817 nucleotides long. RefSeq lists it as uncharacterized. Lineage: Eukaryota; Metazoa; Arthropoda; Arachnida; Ixodida; Ixodidae. The record is from RefSeq and is a predicted model, not a curated record. The transcript is spliced from 5 exons.
UGUGCGGUCGACUUUUAACGCGCUGCCACGCAUUGUGUGUAUUGUGUGUUGUAUUUCGUGGUUACUGACGUAAGCGCAAGUAUACGAGGUACCAGGCAAAUAGUCACCAGAUGCCGACCGUGCGACUUCAAUCUCUGCGACUGCUUUGUUCGGUGUGACCGACGGACGCGAUUCAUAGUUUUGAAGAACACCUUCUUCAAAUGUUUCCGCACGUCAGUGAGUAGCAGCGCCGCAAUCCUUUGUCGACGACGCGUUCUGUGGCCCUGGAAAAUGCCUUUACGCUCGGGGACGGCCGGUAGCUCGGCGAUUCCUCGCUUGGCGCACCAUUGAAAACCGGCGGUCAUCCAGCAGUGUACGCUGCCAGCGUAUUUUUUAUUGCCAGAGGUAGCAAACAGCAGUGCCACAACAAACAGUGGAGUGCUGACCAUGCAGUCCAGAAGGUGGCUGAGGCAAGUAUGCUAUAGGAGGUGCUUAUUCAGGCAGAAGAAAUAUGCAUCUGUAGCCAACGUAAAGGAAGCAUCUUCAAAAGGCAGUGCUACAAGGAUGUGAGCAGCAGUUUCCCUUCAACGAACGGGUCAAACUCAUGGAAGCCACGUGCCUGCUGCUUCUGGCCUACACAAACAUGCAGCCACCAUAGUAAAGUUCUUGCAAAGACAUUCUACACGAACUUGCCCAAAGGCGGAAGGAAGGCACGCACAGAUGGACGCACAGAAAUCAUGGGGCUGCCGUAGAAGCUGUGAAUGAGCAUUAACCUGUGAACGUACAGAAAGGAGCGAAGUGGAGCUGUCCAUGGGCCGUGCACACAGUUUCAUAAGCG